RNAcentral lists this ribosomal RNA (105 nucleotides) under Magnusiomyces capitatus. Its description in RNAcentral is "partial 28S rRNA". Lineage: Eukaryota; Fungi; Ascomycota; Dipodascomycetes; Dipodascales; Dipodascaceae. The record is from RNAcentral.
UGAAAUUGUUGAAAGGGAAGGCGAUGGUAGGAAUAAGAGGCUGCGGUUUGAAAUAAUUGUUUUUCGGGCCACGGUCUCCUGAGCCUGCUUUCGCACCCGUCUUGA